UUUAUAUAGUUUAAGAAAAACACUAGAUUGUGAUUCUAGU
Molecule: transfer RNA, 40 nt
Filed under: Leposoma scincoides
Lineage: Eukaryota; Metazoa; Chordata; Lepidosauria; Squamata; Gymnophthalmidae
Description: partial tRNA-His
Source: RNAcentral